RNAcentral lists this long non-coding RNA (1412 nucleotides) under Parus major (Great Tit). RNAcentral describes it as "lncRNA (ENSPMJG00000004647.1)". The record is from RNAcentral. Lineage: Eukaryota; Metazoa; Chordata; Aves; Passeriformes; Paridae.
CCAUGGGACAGGAAAAGGAUUGGGAACAUCCCAUGGGACAGGGCAGGAUCUGGAACAUUCCAUGGGACAGGGAAAGGACCUGGAACAUUCCAUGGGAUAAGGAAAGAUCUGGGAACAUCCCAUGGGACACAAGAAGGAUCUGGAACAUUCCAUGGGACAGGGCAGGAUCUGGAACAUUCCAUGGGAUGAGGAAGGAUCUGGAACAUUCCAUGGGACAGGGAAAGGAUCUGGAACAUUCCAUGGGAUAAGGAAGGACCUGGAACAUUCCACGGGACAGGGAAGGAUCUGGAACAUUCCACGGGACAGGGAAAGGAUCUGGAACAUUCCAUGGGACAGGGCAGGAUCUGGAACAUCCCAGGGGAUAAGGAAAGAUCAGGAACAUUCCAUGGGAUAAGGAAGGAUCUGGAACAUCGCAUGGGACAGGGAAGGAUCUGGAACAUCCCAUGGGAUGAAGAAGGAGCCGGAACAUUCCACGGGACAGGGAAGGAUCUGGAACAUUCCAUGGGACAGGGCAGGACCUGGAACAUUCCAUGGGACAGGGCAGGACCUGGAACAUUCCAUGGGAUGAAGAAGGAUCUGGAACAUCCCAUGGGACAGGGCAGGAUCUGGAACAUCCCACGGGACAGGGAAAGGAUCUGGAACAUCCCAUGGGAUGAAGAAGGAUCUGGAACAUCCCAGGGGACAGGAAAGGACCCAGGAUGAUUCCGGGCUCACCCUCAGCAGGGAUUUCUGCGUGUCGGGCUCGUGCUCGUAGCCCGCGGCCUCGAUGCACUGGCCCACGGCCUCGGGGAGCAGCUGCUGCUCCCGGAUCUCCCGCAGGUACUCGUCGGCUUUCUGACUCUGCUUCUGCAGGGAAACCGGAGCUGGGACGGACUGGGAGGGACUGGGAGGGACUGGGAGGGACUGGGAAGCACUGGGAAACACUGGGAGGAGCUGGGAAGCACUGGGAAGGGCUGGGAAACACUGGGGAAGCACUGGGAAGUGCUGGGAGGUCGGGAGGUGCUGGGAAGCACUGGGAAGGGCUGGGAUGUGCUGGGAAGGACUGGGAGGAGCUGGGAGGAGCUGGGAAGCACUGGGAAGCACUGGGAGGGGUUGGGAAGCACUGGGAAGCACUGGGAAGCACUGGGAAGGGCUGGGAAGCACUGGGAAGGGCUGGGAAGCUCUGGGAAGGGCUGGGAAGCAUGGGGAAGCACUGGGAGGAGCUGGGAGGCACUGGGAGGGGUUGGGAAGCACUGGGAAGCACUGGGAGAGGUUGGGAAGCACUGGGAAGCACUGGGAAGAACUGGGAUGUGCUGGGAAGCACGGGGAAGCACUGGGAAGCACUGGGAAGCACUGGGAAGCACUGGGAAGCACUGGGAAGGGCUGGGAAGCACUGGGAAGCACUGGGAAGCACUGGGAAGCACUGGGAAGCG